AAUCAGCAAAUAUACUGCCCUA
RNAcentral lists this non-coding RNA (22 nucleotides) under Xenopus laevis (African clawed frog). Its record names the gene xla-miR-34a-3p. RNAcentral also lists the same sequence under 1 other name. Lineage: Eukaryota; Metazoa; Chordata; Amphibia; Anura; Pipidae. The record is from miRBase by way of RNAcentral.